Molecule: ribosomal RNA, 509 nt
Filed under: uncultured bacterium
Lineage: Bacteria
Description: partial 16S ribosomal RNA
Rfam family: Bacterial small subunit ribosomal RNA
Source: RNAcentral
GACAAACGCUGGCGGUAUGCCUAACACAUGCAAGUCGAACGGACAGAACAGGGAAGCUUUUCGGAGUGGAACUGGAAAGUUAGUGGCGGAUGGGUGAGUAACGCGUGGACAACCUACCUUGUAAAGGGGAAUAACCUCGAGAAAUCGAAGCUAAUACCCCAUAAUAACCUUGCUUCGCAUGAAGUAAGGAGGAAAGGCGGCCUUAGCGCUGUCGAUACAAGAUGGGUCCGCGUCUGAUUAGCUAGUUGGUGAGGUAAAGGCUCACCAAGGCGACGAUCAGUAGCCGGCCUGAGAGGGUGAACGGCCACAUUGGGACUGAGACACGGCCCAAACUCCUACGGGAGGCAGCAGUGGGGAAUCUUCCGAGAUGGGCGAAAGCCUGACGGAGCAAUGCCGCGUGAGUGAAGAAGGCCUUCGGGUUGUAAAACUCUGUCCUUAUCGAAGAGAGAGUGUUGUAGUAACUGACAAUACUAGGACGGUAGAUGAGGAGGAAGCCCCGGCUAACUAUG